Molecule: long non-coding RNA, 1488 nt
Filed under: Vulpes vulpes (red fox)
Lineage: Eukaryota; Metazoa; Chordata; Mammalia; Carnivora; Canidae
Description: lncRNA (ENSVVUG00000025617.1)
Source: RNAcentral
GGGCCGCGCGUCCCUCCGUUGGUCCGUCGGUGCAUCCGUCCACGCACCGGUUCGUCCAUACGUUUGACGGACACUUAGUGAGCCCCCGCCAGGUGCAGGGCCGCCAAAGGUGGAGGAAGACAGAAAAUCAUCGUGGGAACAAAGACGCCUUCACCAGUUAGAUGGGUUGGACACGCGGAGCAGACACUCGCGUGGAUCCGGGUAGUUUGGACACUGGAGCUUCUGCAGCUGUGCCGCUUUGGCGUGUUGCUCCUGGCCAGCAUGUCUCCUGCCCAGAGAGAUUAAUGGAAGAUUCAGUCAGGAUGGGUCUGGGGGACCCAGUCUCCAUUCAAUUCAAGGGGCUGCGAGCUGACAUAUCAGAGAAGCCACCCUGGGACCUUCUGCUGAAAUCAGAGACUAUUUCGAUGGCAGUGUCCUCCCCAAAACAGUCUGCCCUGAAUGCUGGCUUUGGCAUUAUUGCUGCUGGACCCUCAGGAUUAUGCUGUUAAACUCUUUUUUUUUUACAUUGUUGUGUGUGUUGUUGUUGUUUUUUUUUAAUUGAAGGUCCCUUACUGGUCCUGUUUCCAUGAGUGCCAAGACCAGGGGAAAAGGGGAGGCAGCGCAAGGAAGGGUCAUCUCCACAACAUUCCAUUUAUACACAGAACUAAACAGACAAGCACAGAGUCACUAUUGCAGUUAGAAGUUGGCAGCAUAGGAAAAGGGAGGAACAGGUGGGGAACUGGGGUGUCAUUAAAAAAAUACAGGCUCCCCCAAACUGGGGUGCCUGGGGGGAACUUGGUCUGCUUCAACCCAAGAGGAAUCAGAAGAUCAAAAAUGUUUUGAGAAAGACAGAACUGUCAGGGAUAGAGGGAGGAGGAAGGUCCAGGGGGUGAGGGGGCUGUUUGGCAACUGGGGUGAAGGGAUUGCCCUCCCGCUGCUGGGAUCCCCCCAGCCCCUCCAGUCUGGCAGGAAGGGGGCAGGCUACAACCCCCAUGGGCAGGUCUGGGGCUGCCAGAUGCUCCAGGCAGGGGGCUGGAGGGGGCUCACAAAGGCUUGCCCUCCAGAGAGAUGACGGCACUGCCCCCCAGUUUCUCUGCCAGGGUGCAGCGGUCCUUGACCUCCUCAUAGCAGUUUGCUUGUAACUCAUGCUUGAUCCCUGUGAGGAAGAAGGGGAGCAUCUGUGAGCAGGAUGCAUUGGGGGAAGGGAAGUCAGGGCUGGGAAGGAGCCAAUCAGAACAGAUGGAAGGGACAAGGUUACCUUCUAGCAGGCAGGGAAGAGGAGGGGGAGGAAUCUCAUAUACCACGGCAUUCAUCCCACCCUACAGCCAAAGCCUGAGUGAAAAGGUGNAUUUUGCCCUUAAGGGGUGCAGACUUGGGUGCUCAGAAGAUAAACACCAGGUCCUCCUUCUUGCUCUCCCUGGUCUCAUAGGUGCGUCAUAGAGGGCAUAGCGGCAGUCCUUGUCUGGUAGAUAGCAUCUUGACAAAGGUGGCGUAGGGGUCAUCUACAGU